Oncorhynchus tshawytscha (Chinook salmon) is the source of this 735-nucleotide long non-coding RNA. The record is from Ensembl. NCBI's taxonomy places the organism in Eukaryota, Metazoa, Chordata, Actinopteri, Salmoniformes, Salmonidae.
CUAUAUACAGGGGGUACCAGUACAGAGUGAAUGUGGAGGCUAUAUACAGGGGGAACCAGUACAGAGUCAAUGUGGAGGCUAUAUACAGGGGGUACCGGUACAGAGUCAAUGUGGAGGCUAUAUACAGGGGGAACCGGUACAGAGUCAAUGUGGAGGCUAUAUACAGGGGGUACCAGUACAGAGUCAAUGUGGAGGCUAUAUACAGGGGGUACCAGUACAGAGUCAAUGUGGAGGCUAUAUACAGGUGGUACCGGUACAGAGUCAAUGUGGAGGCUAUAUACAGGUGGUACCGGUACAGAGUCAAUGUGGAGGCUAUAUACAGGGGGUACCGGUACAGAGUCAAUGUGGAGGCUAUAUACAGGGGGUACCAGUACAGAGUCAAUGUGGAGGCUAUAUACAGGGUGUACCAGUACAGAGUCAAUGUGGAGGCUAUAUACAGGGGGUACCAGUACAGAGUCAAUGUGGAGGCUAUAUACAGGGUGUACCAGUACAGAGUCAAUGUGGAGGCUAUAUACAGGGGGUACCAGUACAGAGUCAAUGUGGAGGCUAUAUACUGGGUGUACUGGUACCGAGUCAAUGUGGAGGCUAUAUACAGGGGGUACCGGUACCGAGUCAAUGUGGAGGCUAUAUACAGGGGGUACCAGUACAGAGUCAAUGUGGAGGCUAUAUACAGGGUGUUAAGUUGCAGAGUCAAUGUGGAGGCUAUAUACAGGGGGUACCGGUACAGAGUCAAUA